This 385-nucleotide ribosomal RNA is filed under the name uncultured bacterium. Its description in RNAcentral is "bacterial SSU rRNA". It matches the Rfam family "Bacterial small subunit ribosomal RNA", at positions 370 to 772 of the family's 1533-position model. The record is from RNAcentral.
AAUGGGGGAAACCCUGAUGCAGCGACGCCGCGUGGAGGAAGAAGGUUUUCGGAUUGUAAACUCCUGUCGUUAGGGACGAUAAUGACGGUACCUAACAAGAAAGCACCGGCUAACUACGUGCCAGCAGCCGCGGUAAAACGUAGGGUGCAAGCGUUGUCCGGAAUUACUGGGUGUAAAGGGAGCGCAGGCGGACCGGCAAGUUGGAAGUGAAAACUAUGGGCUCAACCCAUAAAUUGCUUUCAAAACUGCUGGCCUUGAGUAGUGCAGAGGUAGGUGGAAUUCCCGGUGUAGCGGUGGAAUGCGUAGAUAUCGGGAGGAACACCAGUGGCGAAGGCGACCUACUGGGCACCAACUGACGCUGAGGCUCGAAAGCAUGGGUAGCAAA